GGAAACGACCCGUCGCUGGCUAUGAGGCUAGAGGAAACAUCCCACACCCACACCCAAGAUACGUAUCUUGGGUGUAGCAGGUUGCCUCCUGAAAAGGAGGGCAGAUCCUUUUUGGGAUCUGACGACUAGUGCCGCAGAGACGAGUCGCUUUUUAAAGCGGGUGAAACGUGGUAAACUUCCGGCCGGGUGCAACUCAAAUAGGGAAGCGCUAAGCGCUGAUCCCGGGUAGAGGCAGUCGCUUCGGCGGCACCGGUUUCGCCGGUAGAUAGAUGACGGGAUAGAACAGAAUGGGAGUUAUGGUU
This 302-nucleotide RNase P RNA is filed under the name Actinomycetota bacterium. RNAcentral's name for it is "Actinobacteria bacterium RNase P RNA component class B". It matches the Rfam family "Bacterial RNase P class B". Rfam says of the family: Ribonuclease P (RNase P) is a ubiquitous endoribonuclease, found in archaea, bacteria and eukarya as well as chloroplasts and mitochondria. Its best characterised activity is the generation of mature 5'-ends of tRNAs by cleaving the 5'-leader elements of precursor-tRNAs. Cellular RNase Ps are ribonucleoproteins. The record is from RNAcentral. Lineage: Bacteria; Bacillati; Actinomycetota.